RNAcentral lists this long non-coding RNA (884 nucleotides) under Olea europaea (common olive). RNAcentral describes it as "long non-coding RNA (OEUR_LNC003130)". Lineage: Eukaryota; Viridiplantae; Streptophyta; Magnoliopsida; Lamiales; Oleaceae. The record is from RNAcentral.
UGUGCAGUCCACUUGGUACCCAUUACCUCUACAACUAUAAGAGAUGCCUGAAUUCUUCCUUGGCGUUUUGGUACGAAAAUCAACCACAAACAAUCAAUUAGUUUUUGAAGCACUACCAAAUGGAAAUUAUGAAUUACAUAAACAAUGUAUAAAAUACAAUCAACAUACUACUCUGAAAUAUGGAUUCCACCUCUGAGAUAUUAUAUAGAAUCAAACUCAGAUAUUUUAUGAAAUAAAAGACUGGAUUUGCAUAACAACCACGAAACUGACAAAAAGAAGAUGAAAUUCUGGUAUUACUUGAAUGGGGUUAGAUGGUUGUCAUUGUAUUUUUUAGGUUGCCAAGCUGAUUUAGCGACAGUAGGAAUUGAGGAGAUUAUCGACCAAUUUGAUGCUUUUCAAUGGAAAGGCAAAUGCUUGGGGAUUGCAACAGGGGUCCGGUUUGUCUGCCUACAACCUUUGAUGUAGAAGAUUGUAGCGGUGGAGAAUUUGGCUUAAUCAAGGGUUUUUAAUGCUGGCUUCGAAGAUGCACAAAUUUGGGGAAGAUAACCUGAUGAGGCUGGGUUGUGAGGUGCUACCAUAGGUGGAGAUGAGUCCAUCGGUAUUUGGCUGGCGUAUUGUGAAGUGAAGGGAGGAUAUGGUUUUUGAGAGGGAAAUUUUGGAGAGGUACUAUUGGGUUUCAAUUUGGGGAUUGUCGGGGAGAAAGAGUGAAGACGGGUUAGUUGCUUUAUUAACGUUUUUUCCCCAUUUCACAUUGACCUUGUAAAGGAUUUAUAAGAACUCUCCCUGUACGCUAAGCGCCAUUGUAAACGCUAUCCUCUAACUUGCUUACUAUAAGAUUUCUAAAUGUUUUACAUUCCAAAUGCUUCAGAUAUGAUAUAUCUUUU